This 1448-nucleotide ribosomal RNA is filed under the name metagenome. RNAcentral describes it as "bacterial LSU rRNA". It matches the Rfam family "Bacterial large subunit ribosomal RNA", at positions 1489 to 2925 of the family's 2925-position model. The record is from RNAcentral.
AGCCGGGUGUUGGACGUCCCGGUUUAAGCGUGUAGGCGUGCCCCUUAGGCAAAUCCGGGGGGCUGAGCUGAGGCGUGAUGACGAGGAACCACGGUUCCGAAGUGAUUGAUACCAAGCUUCCAGGAAAGGCCACUAAGCUUCAGUCUAGAGUUGACCGUACCGCAAACCGACACAGGUGGGCAGGAUGAAAAUUCUAAGGCGCUUGAGAGAACUCAGGAGAAGGAACUCGGCAAAUUAACACCGUAACUUCGGGAGAAGGUGUGCCCCGGUAGCGUGUAGAGACUUGCUCUCGAAGCGCGAUGGGGUUGCAGUGAAAUGGUGGCUGCGACUGUUUAAUAAAAACACAGCACUCUGCAAACACGAAAGUGGACGUAUAGGGUGUGACGCCUGCCCGGUGCCGGAAGGUUAAGUGAUGGGGUGCAAGCUCUUGAUCGAAGCCCCGGUAAACGGCGGCCGUAACAAUAACGGUCCUAAGGUAGCGAAAUUCCUUGUCGGGUAAGUUCCGACCUGCACGAAUGGCGUAACGAUGGCCACACUGUCUCCUCCUGGGACUCAGCGAAGUUGAAAUGUUUGUGAAGAUGCAAUCUACCCGCGGCUAGACGGAAAGACCCCAUGAACCUUUACUGUAGCUUUGCAUUGGACUUUGAACCGGUUUGUGUAGGAUAGGUGGGAGACUGUGAAGCCGGGACGCUAGUUUCGGUGGAGUCAACCUUGAAAUACCACCCUGAUUUGUUUGAGGUUCUAACCUUGGUCCGUGAAUCCGGAUCGGGGACCGUGCAUGGUAGGCAGUUUGACUGGGGCGGUCUCCUCCCAAAAGGUAACGGAGGAGUACGAAGGUACGCUUAGGGCGGUCGGACAUCGCCCACAAAGUGCAAUGGCAAAAGCGUGCUUGACUGCGAGACCCACAAGUCGAGCAGGUACGAAAGUAGGUCAUAGUGAUCCGGUGGUUCUGUAUGGAAGGGCCAUCGCUCAACGGAUAAAAGGUACUCUGGGAUAAUAGGCUAAUUCCUCCCAAGAGUUCAUAUCGACGGGGGAGUUUGGCACCUCGAUGUCGGCUCAUCACAUCCUGGGGCUGUAGUCGGUCCCAAGGGUAUGGCUGUUCGCCAUUUAAAGUGGUACGCGAGCUGGGUUUAAAACGUCGUGAGACAGUUUGGUCCCUAUCUGCCGUGGGCGCUGGAAAUUUGAGGGGGGCUGCUCCUAGUACGAGAGGACCGGAGUGGACGAACCUCUGGUGUACCGGUUAUGACGCCAGUCGUAUCGCCGGGUAGCUAAGUUCGGAAGAGAUAAACGCUGAAAGCAUCUAAGCGUGAAACUCGCCUUAAGAUAAGAUUUCCCGGAGUCUUGAACUCCCUGAAGGGUCGUCGAAGACCACGACGUUGAUAGGUCAGGUGUGGAAGCGCAGCAAUGCGUUAAGCUAACUGAUACUAAUUGCCCGUGCGGCUUGAUGA